UCUCAGGAUGGAUACACUUAGUGGCGGACGGGUGAGUAACGCGUGGGUACCUGCCUCACACUGGGGGAUAACAGUUAGAAAUAGCUGCUAAUACCGCAUAAGUCCGCAUGGAAAAAACUCCGGUGGUGUGAGAUGGACCCGCGUCUGAUUAGCCAGUUGGCGGGGUAACGGCCCACCAAAGCGACGAUCAGUAGCCGGCCUGAGAGGGUGAACGGCCACAUUGGGACUGAGACACGGCCCAAACUCCUACGGGAGGCAGCAGUGGGGAAUAUUGCACAAUGGGGGAAACCCUGAUGCAGCGACGCCGCGUGAGUGAAGAAGUAUUUCGGUAUGUAAAGCUCUAUCAGCAGGGAAGAAAGUGACGGUACCUGAAUAAGAAGCCCCGGCUAACUACGUGCCAGCAGCCGCGGUAAUACGUAGGGGGCAAGCGUUAUCCGGAUUUACUGGGUGUAAAGGGAGCGUAGACGGCAAGGCAAGUCUGAAGUGAAAGCCCGGUGCUU
This 500-nucleotide ribosomal RNA is filed under the name uncultured bacterium. RNAcentral describes it as "bacterial SSU rRNA". It matches the Rfam family "Bacterial small subunit ribosomal RNA", at positions 77 to 610 of the family's 1533-position model. The record is from RNAcentral.